AGGAUGAACGCUAGCGGCAGGCCUAACACAUGCAAGUCGAGGGGCAGCGAGUCUAGCUUGCUAGAUGUCGGCGACCGGCGCACGGGUGAGCAACGCGUAUGGAACCUGCCCUUUACAGGGGAAUAGCCCAGGGAAACUUGGAUUAAUGCCCCGUGGUACCGUUAUGCAGCAUUGCUAGUUUACGGUUAAAGCCGUUCGGGGCGGUAAGGGAUCGGCCAUGCGUACCAUUACGCUCGAGUGGGU
This 243-nucleotide ribosomal RNA is filed under the name uncultured soil bacterium. RNAcentral describes it as "partial 16S ribosomal RNA". It matches the Rfam family "Bacterial small subunit ribosomal RNA", at positions 26 to 258 of the family's 1533-position model. The record is from RNAcentral.